This 1550-nucleotide long non-coding RNA is filed under the name Triticum aestivum (bread wheat). RNAcentral describes it as "long non-coding RNA (TAES_LNC006557)". The record is from RNAcentral. Lineage: Eukaryota; Viridiplantae; Streptophyta; Magnoliopsida; Poales; Poaceae.
CAUGAGUGAUAUAUACUACUUGCCUGCUGCUAUAUCAUAUUGCUUACUUUUUUACAUCAGAUCAAUUAUGAAGAGAAUUGGUGGUGGUUAGGGUGUUUUGGUGCUUAUGUAAUCUUCUUUCAGGCCUUUCGCGAUAGAUUUCUUUAGCUGGCAUGUUUAGCAAAUGCUACAGUGCUUAUGGUUUAGUUUUACACCUGCGUAAAAAUGAAUGGCUGCUACUGUUUCUAGUUUUAGGUUGGGAUGAGAUGCAUGUUUGCAUGCUUGUGCUUCUGUCACUACAAUCUAUACUACUGCUAUUGUCAUAUCCUCGUUGUUUUGUUGCUACUAAUAUUUGUCCCAUGUUUUGUUUCCUUGCAUGCUUACUACUACAAUUUAUACUACUACUAUUGUGCAAGAUGUUCACAUGUUAAUUUGACUAAAAUCUCUUAUGUCGUUCACUUAGCUUGACCCAGAACAGCAGCAUCCUUGAUGCGACUAACCUUCACCUAGUUCUUUCUCUCGCAGACUCGAAGGAGGCCGUAUGCAAGGCACCAAGGUGCAUGGUCCUCGCAAGCGAGGAACGGAGGAUGUUCGACAUCGGCUACGCAAACCACCAUUGUGAGCUCCUCCCUUUGCUAUGGUACAACCAUGCUCUGUUUCAUGGGUUAGUUAGGAUUUUGAUGCUUUUUGCGCCAUGGUUGAGUCCUUGCCGACUAUUGUGUCGAUGAUCAAGUGUUGGUGCCUCAUUUGGCUAUUUUAUUUGUUGCUGGUAAUUAGUAGUAUUAAAGUGUCGUUAGUUUAUUAGGAUGUGGCUGAAACCAUUGGAUGGGUGCUUCUGUGGCUAUUUGAUUUGUUGCUGGUAAUUAGUAGUAUUAGAGUGCCGCUGGUUUAUUAGGAUGUAGCUGAAACCAUUGGAUGACCUUCCUGGACAUGUUAUCUAGAAUUAGUACUUGUCCCAUUUUUUGUUUCCUUGCUGGACAUGCUAUGGUUCAAGUGUCGAUGAUGUCUAGUAGUAGUUUGCUAGCUAUAUACCUGCUACUGAUUGAUGCUCUUUUGGUCUCCUGAUUGAUGCUCUUUUGGUCUCCUGGAAUCAUAUUAUACUGUAUCUAGUGUUCUUGUGGUUAUGUGAAGAUGCAUCACAAACAUCUAGGUCUUUGAAGUUGGCUGAAUCUGUUGCUUUAUCAUAUAUUUGGUCCAUAAAUCUACAUUUCUAUGAGAUAUCUUUUAGUAUAUAAUUUUUUGAUUGUCCAAGAAUAAUAGCGACUCUAAUGCUCGUAGCCCAUGUCUUCACUCUUUUACAGGAGCUCCAGGUCUAUGAAAUUUGAAGUUUGAAGCCAUAUAGUAUAGCCCUACUCAGCAAAGAGUUGUCGCUUAUGUUUGACUGUAAUAGACCGUAAUAUUGUAAUAUUGUAACAGUAGGCAUAUUGGGGUUGUAAUAGACUAUGUACAGAUUGUAGUAGACUUACUGUUAUUUGAUGAACUACAUUUCUACUGUUGGGUCUGAAAUAUUGAUUAUGUAUGUGAUUUGAAAACAUGUGGAAUGGAAACCUGACUUGUGGGACCCACUUAUG